GGUGCCAUUUGGACAUAGAGUCCAUGUGGUUGAGAAGUUUGAAUUUUUUCUCAUGCACAUCCAUUCCCCAUGCCAAUUCUAAAUUGAUGCCACACAUAUUGGCCAUUGGAUGUGUUAGAAAGUGGUGGUUUUUUAUGUGUAGUUUAAAUUUUUUCAUAAAAUAGAUUAUGCACAAUGAAAAAUCAUGCUUCGGAUCUUGACACGAACACAUUACUAUGAUU
RNAcentral lists this long non-coding RNA (221 nucleotides) under Elaeis guineensis (African oil palm). RNAcentral describes it as "long non-coding RNA (EGUI_LNC065209)". Lineage: Eukaryota; Viridiplantae; Streptophyta; Magnoliopsida; Arecales; Arecaceae. The record is from RNAcentral.